GUGGGGUACAGUGGUGUGUGCCUGUAAUCCCAGCAACUUCAGAGGCUGAGGCAGGAGGACUGCAAGUUUGAGGCCAGCCUCAGCAACUUAGCAAGAUCCUGUCUCAA
Molecule: small RNA, 107 nt
Filed under: Marmota monax (woodchuck)
Lineage: Eukaryota; Metazoa; Chordata; Mammalia; Rodentia; Sciuridae
Source: RNAcentral